UAGUAGUUAGUUUAAUUAAAACAAAUGAUUUCGACUCAUUAAAUUAUGCCUAAAUACAUAACUACUAA
This 68-nucleotide transfer RNA is filed under the name Proechimys guairae (casiragua). Its description in RNAcentral is "tRNA-Arg". It matches the Rfam family "tRNA". Rfam says of the family: Transfer RNA (tRNA) molecules are approximately 80 nucleotides in length. Their secondary structure includes four short double-helical elements and three loops (D, anti-codon, and T loops). Further hydrogen bonds mediate the characteristic L-shaped molecular structure. tRNAs have two regions of fundamental functional importance: the anti-codon, which is responsible for specific mRNA codon recognition, and the 3' end, to which the tRNAs corresponding amino acid is attached (by aminoacyl-tRNA synthetases). tRNAs cope with the degeneracy of the genetic code in two manners: having more than one tRNA (with a specific anti-codon) for a particular amino acid; and 'wobble' base-pairing, i.e. permitting non-standard base-pairing at the 3rd anti-codon position. The record is from RNAcentral. Lineage: Eukaryota; Metazoa; Chordata; Mammalia; Rodentia; Echimyidae. RNAcentral also lists the same sequence under 1 other name.